Molecule: ribosomal RNA, 498 nt
Filed under: uncultured bacterium
Lineage: Bacteria
Description: partial 16S ribosomal RNA
Rfam family: Bacterial small subunit ribosomal RNA
Source: RNAcentral
AUUGAACGCUGGCGGCAUGCCUUACACAUGCAAGUCGAACGGUAACAGGUCUUCGGAUGCUGACGAGUGGCGAACGGGUGAGUAAUACAUCGGAACGUGCCUAGUAGUGGGGGAUAACUACUCGAAAGAGUGGCUAAUACCGCAUGAGAUCUACGGAUGAAAGCAGGGGAUCGCAAGACCUUGUGCUACUAGAGCGGCCGAUGGCAGAUUAGGUAGUUGGUGGGAUAAAAGCUUACCAAGCCGACGAUCUGUAGCUGGUCUGAGAGGACGAUCAGCCACCCUGGGACUGGGAAACGGCCCAGAGUCCGACGGGAGGCAGCAGUGGGGAAUUUUGGACAAGGGGCGCAAGCCUGAUCCAGCAAUGCCGCGUGCAGGAUGAAGGCCUUCGGGUUGUAAACUGCUUUUGUACGGAACGAAAAGCCCCGGGUUAAUACCCUGGGGUCAUGACGGUACCGUAAGAAUAGGCACCGGCUAACUACGUGCCAGUCGCCGCCGUAA